Molecule: ribosomal RNA, 449 nt
Filed under: uncultured bacterium
Lineage: Bacteria
Description: partial 16S ribosomal RNA
Rfam family: Bacterial small subunit ribosomal RNA
Source: RNAcentral
AACGAACGCUGGCGGCAGGCCUAACACAUGCAAGUCGAGCGAAGUCUUCGGACUUAGCGGCGGACGGGUGAGUAACGCGUGGGAAUAUGCCCUUCUCUACGGAAUAGCCUCGGGAAACUGGGAGUAAUACCGUAUACGCCCUUUGGGGGAAAGAUUUAUCGGAGAAGGAUUAGCCCGCGUUGGAUUAGGUAGUUGGUGGGGUAAUGGCCUACCAAGCCGACGAUCCAUAGCUGGUUUGAGAGGAUGAUCAGCCACACUGGGACUGAGACACGGGCCGAAACUCGACGGGGGGCAGCAGGGGGGAAUCUUAGACAAUGGGCGCAAGCCUGUUCUAGCCAUGCCGGGUGAUUGAUGAAGGCCUUAGGGUUGUAAAGUUCUUUCAGCUGGGAAGAUAAUGACGGUACCAGAAGAAGAAGCCCCGGCUACCUCCGUGCCAGCAGCCGCGGUAA